This 670-nucleotide ribosomal RNA is filed under the name bacterium EA10-N-7. RNAcentral's name for it is "bacterial SSU rRNA". It matches the Rfam family "Bacterial small subunit ribosomal RNA", at positions 49 to 716 of the family's 1533-position model. The record is from RNAcentral.
UUACACAUGCAAGUCGAACGGCAGCGCGGGGCAACCUGGCGGCGAGUGGCGAACGGGUGAGUAAUAUAUCGGAACGUACCCUGGAGUGGGGGAUAACGUAGCGAAAGUUACGCUAAUACCGCAUACGAUCUAAGGAUGAAAGUGGGGGAUCGCAAGACCUCAUGCUCCUGGAGCGGCCGAUAUCUGAUUAGCUAGUUGGUGGGGUAAAGGCCUACCAAGGCAUCGAUCAGUAGCUGGUCUGAGAGGACGACCAGCCACACUGGAACUGAGACACGGUCCAGACUCCUACGGGAGGCAGCAGUGGGGAAUUUUGGACAAUGGGCGAAAGCCUGAUCCAGCAAUGCCGCGUGAGUGAAGAAGGCCUUCGGGUUGUAAAGCUCUUUUGUCAGGGAAGAAACGGUGAGGGCUAAUAUCCCUUGCUAAUGACGGUACCUGAAGAAUAAGCACCGGCUAACUACGUGCCAGCAGCCGCGGUAAUACGUAGGGUGCAAGCGUUAAUCGGAAUUACUGGGCGUAAAGCGUGCGCAGGCGGUUUUGUAAGUCUGUCGUGAAAUCCCCGGGCUCAACCUGGGAAUUGCGAUGGAGACUGCAAGGCUAGAAUCUGGCAGAGGGGGGUAGAAUUCCACGUGUAGCAGUGAAAUGCGUAGAGAUGUGGAGGAACACCGAUGGC